Molecule: ribosomal RNA, 753 nt
Filed under: uncultured bacterium
Lineage: Bacteria
Description: bacterial SSU rRNA
Rfam family: Bacterial small subunit ribosomal RNA
Source: RNAcentral
CGCUGGCGGCGUGCCUAAUACAUGCAAGUCGAGCGAACGGACGAGAAGCUUGCUUCUCUGAUGUUAGCGGCGGACGGGUGAGUAACACGUGGAUAACCUACCUAUAAGACUGGGAUAACUUCGGGAAACCGGAGCUAAUACCGGAUAAUACUUUAAACCGCAUGGUUCAAAAGUGAAAGACGGUCUUGCUGUCACUUAUAGAUGGAUCCGCGCUGCAUUAGCUAGUUGGUAAGGUAACGGCUUACCAAGGCAACGAUGCAUAGCCGACCUGAGAGGGUGAUCGGCCACACUGGAACUGAGACACGGUCCAGACUCCUACGGGAGGCAGCAGUAGGGAAUCUUCCGCAAUGGGCGAAAGCCUGACGGGGCAACGCCGCGUGAGUGAUGAAGGUCUUCGGAUCGUAAAACUCUGUUAUUAGGGAAGAACAUAUGUGUAAGUAACUGUGCACAUCUUGACGGUACCUAAUCAGAAAGCCACGGCUAACUACGUGCCAGCAGCCGCGGUAAUACGUAGGUGGCAAGCGUUAUCCGGAAUUAUUGGGCGUAAAGCGCGCGUAGGCGGUUUUUUAAGUCUGAUGUGAAAGCCCACGGCUCAACCGUGGAGGGUCAUUGGAAACUGGAAAACUUGAGUGCAGAAGAGGAAAGUGGAAUUCCAUGUGUAGCGGUGAAAUGCGCAGAGAUAUGGAGGAACACCAGUGGCGAAGGCGACUUUCUGGUCUGUAACUGACGCUGAUGUGCGAAAGCGUGGGGAUC